UUUCAAAAUGACUUAUAUUUUUAAACUAAGGGAAUUGAAUUCUAGCAACUUUAAACUUUCCAAACAUAAGAAAUGGUCAAACAAAAUUCAAUUAAAUUGAAUUGAAUUCUUUCACUUUCAUGCUUUGCUAUGGCAGGCCAAUCAUCAUUUCUUGUUUCUUAAUGAAUGUUAAUGAAACAUACCUCUUCAUGAAUCAUCUGUA
This 202-nucleotide unclassified non-coding RNA is filed under the name Hevea brasiliensis (rubber tree). Lineage: Eukaryota; Viridiplantae; Streptophyta; Magnoliopsida; Malpighiales; Euphorbiaceae. The record is from RNAcentral.